Molecule: ribosomal RNA, 164 nt
Filed under: uncultured bacterium
Lineage: Bacteria
Description: partial 16S rRNA
Rfam family: Bacterial small subunit ribosomal RNA
Source: RNAcentral
UAGGGAAUCUUCCACAAUGGGCGAAAGCCUGAUGGAGCAACGCCGCGUGUGUGAUGAAGGGUUUCGGCUCGUAAAACACUGUUGUAAGAGAAGAAUGACAUUGAGAGUAACGGUUCAAUGUGUGACGGUAUCUUACCAGAAAGGAACGGCUAAAUACGUGCCUG